This 45-nucleotide non-coding RNA is filed under the name Schistosoma bovis. RNAcentral also lists the same sequence under 1 other name. The record is from RNAcentral. Lineage: Eukaryota; Metazoa; Platyhelminthes; Trematoda; Strigeidida; Schistosomatidae.
GUUUAGCUGACGAGUCCCAAAUAAGACAAAACGCGCAUUCUGGAU